AAGUCUGGUGCCAGCAGCCGCGGUAAUUCCAGCUCCAAUAGCGUAUAUUAAAGUUGUUGCAGUUAAAAAGCUCGUAGUUGAAUUUCGGGAUCAAAUUGUUGGUCGUGCUUCGGUACGCACUGGCAUUAUUGGUUCCUACCUUCUGAAGAACCGCGAUGUCAUUAAUUUGGUGUCGUGGGGAAUCAGGACUGUUACUUUGAAAAAAUUAGAGUGUUUAAAGCAGGCUUACGCUUGAAUACAUUAGCAUGGAAUAAUGAAAUAGGACGUUUGAUUCUAUUUUGUUGGUUUCUAGGAUCGACGUAAUGAUUAAUAGGGAUAGUUGGGGGCAUUAGUAUUCAAUUGUCAGAGGUGAAAUUCUUGGAUUUAUUGAAGACUAACUACUGCGAAAGCAUUUGCCAAGGAUGUUUUCAUUAAUCAAGAACGAAAGUUAGGGGAUCGAAGACGAUCAGAUACCGUCGUAGUCUUAACCAUAAACUAUGCCGACUAGGGAUCGGAUGAUGUAAUUUUAA
RNAcentral lists this ribosomal RNA (509 nucleotides) under uncultured Glomus. RNAcentral describes it as "SSU rRNA". It matches the Rfam family "Eukaryotic small subunit ribosomal RNA", at positions 557 to 1071 of the family's 1831-position model. The record is from RNAcentral. Lineage: Eukaryota; Fungi; Glomeromycota; Glomeromycetes; Glomerales; Glomeraceae.